GUUUUAAUAGUUUAACAAAAACAUUGGUCUUGUAAAUCAAAAAUUAGAUUUAUUCUAUUAAAACU
This 65-nucleotide transfer RNA is filed under the name Scatella tenuicosta. RNAcentral's name for it is "tRNA-Thr". It matches the Rfam family "tRNA". Rfam says of the family: Transfer RNA (tRNA) molecules are approximately 80 nucleotides in length. Their secondary structure includes four short double-helical elements and three loops (D, anti-codon, and T loops). Further hydrogen bonds mediate the characteristic L-shaped molecular structure. tRNAs have two regions of fundamental functional importance: the anti-codon, which is responsible for specific mRNA codon recognition, and the 3' end, to which the tRNAs corresponding amino acid is attached (by aminoacyl-tRNA synthetases). tRNAs cope with the degeneracy of the genetic code in two manners: having more than one tRNA (with a specific anti-codon) for a particular amino acid; and 'wobble' base-pairing, i.e. permitting non-standard base-pairing at the 3rd anti-codon position. Lineage: Eukaryota; Metazoa; Arthropoda; Insecta; Diptera; Ephydridae. The record is from RNAcentral.